UCAACACCCCACCCAGGCGAUAGGCAUCUUUCGAAAUCCUCCAACCCAAACACACCCACAGAGUCUCUCGCUCCAAGGCUGCUCUGUUUGAGCUGCCCUGCACUACAGCGCUCCCUCAAGAAGAGCCCGUACGAAUUGCACAAGGGGCCCCCAAAGCAAGAAAGUGAACCCGCUGCUGCCUGGGCUUUGGGAAACAGCACCUCGAGGGACUUGGCGAAGGCUGGGUUCAUCUUUGCAAAGGCUGGAGGACCAGCCGGUUUGGUGGGGGUAAAGGGAGGGGGAACCAUUCUCAGCAGCGUGCCAGCAGAGUCCUCGCUUGCUCAAGGCCACCAGAGGAUGGAGGUACCAUGUCAUGAGCUGGGAUUCCAUGGAAGUCAUAAAUAAAUACUGAGUCCCUACCUCCCAUGAGACAAGCAAAAUUUUUUCCCCCUCAGUAGAUGGAAUGACAUGAACAAAAAUGGAAAAAGAGAAGGAUUUGGAACUUAAUCUCUCACUUUUUAAACUUUUUGCUCACCGUGACUUGUCAAGUUGUCAAAGAUGAGUGAGGGGAAGCAGGAAAGAGAAGGCAGAUGCUGUCUAAAAACUGAACAGUGCCUCCUUCUUGCACAGCACUUCCAUCCACACUUUAAAGAUGGAGGAAUUGAGGAACAAAGAGUUGGAAUGCCUUGCCCAGGAACACCAAGCCCACCCCAUCAGGGUUGUAUCUGUACCCGUGUUUCCUGGCUGUCUGCCUCAAUCAUUAGGCAGUCCUGUCUCUUCUGCAAGUAAGCCAGUCACAGAAUUGUUCUGUGUGCCCUGGCGUCUGUGGAAACUGUCACCAAAUUCAGAGGAGCCAAAGAUUGACCUGACCUGUGUUUUUUAAGGCUCCAAUUCUCCCGUAUUUAAGCAUCUCCUAACUUUUAAGAACAACUUUGCUGACCUUAAAGUACCUUUUUGCACCACUGGUAUUGAACUGCCCAACUUGAAACUCGAAGUCUGUGGGAGGUAUCUCCUUUGUCUUCAGAGAACUUUGGAUCAGUCCUAUGAGACUUCUGUCAAAAUCCUGCUGAGUUUUUUAAGCAGAGGAACAAGUAAUUUCCCCAUUGACAUUGGUGUGAAUGAAGCUUUACAGGCAAAAUGCCAAAGACAAGGCCCCUGCCCAAAAUAAUGGCAGCUGAUGACGAAGGGUUGUAAUAAAAGGCAGAGAGCUCAGCAUCACACUGUUCACUUAUCCCUCCACUUGCUGAAAUGCUGCAUGUAUGUCCAGCCAUACAAGUUCUUCCUGGUAGAUAAAACAAAUACUUACAUGAAGAGAACAUUGUCCAAGCACUUUGCCUGGAGGAUUAUACUUAAUGAGAAGGCUAUCCUGACACAGUUAUGGACUGACUCACUCAGUCCCAUUGGAAUGUUAAAUUAUUUAGGCCUGCAUCUUGGUUCCACUUAAUUCAAAAGGAAUCUUGCUACUAACUGUAACAGCAGCUGGAUCUAGCCUCACAACAAAAGGCAAUGAUACCAUAAUAUAGGAUGUCAAAGAGCCUUCAUCUCUUCAUUGUAAACAGAGCACAUCUAAGAUCAUUUCCCACACAUAGGAACUCCAAAGAGAAAUUAUUGCUAAAGCCAGGCACAGACUACUUAACUUAUUCCUUUACAUGAACUUUUAGUGAAUUUGCUUUCAUGAGACUUUAAUUUCAUUUGUUUUCCACAGAGUUUAUGUUCUUCUGGAAUCUUGUCCAAAGCUACAUGAAUUUAAUAAACAAAAUUAAAUCAUCAA
Non-coding RNA from Anas platyrhynchos (mallard), 1750 nucleotides. Lineage: Eukaryota; Metazoa; Chordata; Aves; Anseriformes; Anatidae. The record is from RefSeq and is a predicted model, not a curated record.